AACUGAACUAACAAAACAAGUCAGCGC
This 27-nucleotide non-coding RNA is filed under the name Bombyx mori (domestic silkworm). Lineage: Eukaryota; Metazoa; Arthropoda; Insecta; Lepidoptera; Bombycidae. The record is from RNAcentral.